Molecule: ribosomal RNA, 246 nt
Filed under: uncultured Enterobacteriaceae bacterium
Lineage: Bacteria; Pseudomonadati; Pseudomonadota; Gammaproteobacteria; Enterobacterales; Enterobacteriaceae
Description: partial 16S ribosomal RNA
Rfam family: Bacterial small subunit ribosomal RNA
Source: RNAcentral
GACGAGUGGCGGACGGGUGAGUAAUGUCUGGGAAACUGCCUGAUGGAGGGGGAUAACUACUGGAAACGGUAGCUAAUACCGCAUAACGUCGCAAGGCCAAAGAGGGGGACCUUCGGGCCUCUUGCCAUCGGAUGUGCCCAGAUGGGAUUAGCUAGUAGGUGGGGUAAAGGCUCACCUAGGCGACGAUCCCUAGCUGGUCUGAGAGGAUGAACGGCCACAUUGGGACUGAGACACGGCCCAGACUCC